UUUGUGUUUCACAAUUGCAGCAAAGUCAUAUGGGUUCAGACCAACAUGAGGAUAAGUAAAUGACCACAGAAUGUUCAGAUUUGGGUGAGUGGGCUCAGCCAGGAUAGCAAGUAGCUGUUAUUUGGGUGGAGUCCUGUGCUUUCUCCAUUAACCAUUAAAGGAAGCAUCUCUGAACUGCAAUGCGGUGAGAAGGACAGCUGUGAUUUGCCAUUUCUGGUGAAUAAACAAACAGACUGAGAAUGUGGAUGGUGCCUACCUGCUCUGUGUCUGUUGCUGUUGCUGUGAGAGUGUAGCGUGCUUUGAAGUUUCCACCUGAGUGAAGGACUGCACACAAACUCCACUGGAUGUAGAGGCUGGAUUAGUUUACAACACUAAACGGGGGCAAAAUAUGUAUGACGAGGCUUCAGGAUGGAGUCGAUAGAAAAAAAAAAUAGAAGAGACAACUAAGGAAGACCCCAAUUACUGAUUACAGCUGGAGAGGAAUGCUAAAG
Molecule: long non-coding RNA, 491 nt
Organism: Cyprinus carpio (common carp)
Lineage: Eukaryota; Metazoa; Chordata; Actinopteri; Cypriniformes; Cyprinidae
Exons: 4
Source: RefSeq, a predicted model, not a curated record